GUGUGGUGGGGGUGCUCCACCGUGGAGCUGGUCGGCAUCCACAGCCACCCAGACGCUGCCAGAGCCCAGGCCUGCGCCACGCCCUGCCCAGAGGCACACCUGCCUGCUCAAGGCAACCAGGGCAGGCUCAAGGCAGCCAGGGCCAGCUCACUGUGUGCCUGUCACUGUGUGAAGCCUGCUUCUUCUUUAUUCCGCUUAGCAAGUGAGGCAGGAGCAUGUAAAGCUGCUGGCAGAGGAAUAUCUAAUUUACCUCCUAAAUGGCUCUACUUUGAACCUGCUGGGCAAGGAAGAGAUUUUCAAGGAAACCAUAUACCGUGUGCGAGCUCCUGCCGGCCAACCCCAGACCCCAGCACGGAGCCAGGCGCCUGUGCCCGCCGACCCUCAGCACCCUCCUCAGAAAGGCUGGUGGCAUCAGGAAGCCCCUGGCCAGCCUCCACCUGAGCCCAGUGAGCUCAGCUUUAAGGAUGGAGUCAGGCAGGGGGUCCUCAACCCCUCCAGGACCCAUUGCUGCCCUAGGGAUGCCAGACACUGGGCCUGGCAGUUCCUCCCUAGGGAAGCUUCAGGCGCUCCCUGUUGGGCCCAGAGCCCACUGUGGGGACCCUGUCAGCCUGGCUGCAGCAGGGGAUGGCUCUCCAGACACAGGCCCCACGGGAGAGCUGAGUGGUAGCUUAAAGAUCCCCAACCGGGACAGCGGGAUUGACAGUCCAUCCUCCAGUGUGGCUGGAGAGAACUUUCCCUGCGAGGAGGGCUUGGAGGCUGGCCCAAGCCCCACUGUACUGGGGGCGCACGCAGAGAUGGCCCUGGACAGCCAGGUCCCAAAGGUCACCCCCCAGGAGGAGGCGGACAGCGACGUGGGUGAGGAACCUGACUCUGAGAACACCCCCCAGAAGGCUGACAAGGAUGCCGGCCUGGCCC
Molecule: small RNA, 915 nt
Filed under: Pan troglodytes (chimpanzee)
Lineage: Eukaryota; Metazoa; Chordata; Mammalia; Primates; Hominidae
Description: processed transcript
Source: RNAcentral